Molecule: long non-coding RNA, 1561 nt
Filed under: Arabidopsis thaliana (thale cress)
Lineage: Eukaryota; Viridiplantae; Streptophyta; Magnoliopsida; Brassicales; Brassicaceae
Description: long non-coding RNA (ATHA_LNC000349)
Source: RNAcentral
UCCACCACCUCCAUACGUUUACAGUUCUCCACCACCUCCACUAUCGUAUUCGCCAUCUCCCAAGGUAGACUACAAGUCUCCACCACCUCCAUAUGUUUACAGCUCUCCACCACCACCAUAUUACUCACCAUCCCCUAAAGUCGAAUACAAAUCCCCACCACCUCCAUAUGUUUAUAGUUCUCCACCACCACCAUAUUACUCACCCUCACCUAAAGUAGAUUACAAGUCUCCACCACCACCGUAUGUUUACAGCUCCCCACCACCACCAUACUAUUCACCUUCUCCAAAGCCCACAUACAAAUCACCACCACCUCCAUAUGUUUACAAUUCUCCACCACCACCAUACUACUCACCAUCCCCUAAGGUCGAAUACAAAUCUCCACCACCUCCAUACGUCUAUAGCUCUCCACCCCCACCAUACUACUCACCCUCACCUAAAGUAGAUUAUAAGUCUCCACCACCACCGUAUGUUUACAACUCUCCACCACCACCAUACUAUUCACCUUCUCCAAAACCCACAUACAAGUCCCCACCACCACCAUAUAUUUACAGCUCUCCACCACCACCAUACUAUUCUCCUUCUCCUAAACCAGUAUACAAAUCUCCACCACCACCAUACGUCUAUUCCUCUCCACCACCACCAUACUAUUCACCUUCUCCUAAACCAGCAUACAAAUCUCCACCACCACCGUAUGUUUAUAGCUCUCCACCUCCUCCAUACUACUCGCCUUCUCCUAAACCCAUAUACAAGUCUCCACCACCACCGUACGUCUACAACUCUCCUCCACCACCAUACUACUCUCCUUCUCCAAAACCGGCAUACAAAUCUCCACCACCACCAUACGUAUACAGCUUUCCACCUCCUCCAUACUACUCGCCUUCUCCUAAACCCGUAUACAAGUCUCCACCACCACCAUACGUCUACAACUCUCCUCCACCACCAUACUACUCUCCUUCUCCAAAACCGGCAUACAAAUCUCCACCACCACCAUACGUAUACAGCUCUCCACCACCACCAUACUACUCGCCUUCUCCUAAACCAACAUACAAAUCUCCACCACCACCAUAUGUUUAUAGCUCUCCACCUCCUCCAUACUACUCGCCUUCUCCUAAACCCGUAUACAAGUCUCCACCACCACCGUACAUCUACAACUCUCCACCACCACCAUACUACUCCCCUUCACCUAAACCAUCAUACAAAUCCCCACCACCACCAUAUGUUUACAGCUCUCCACCACCACCAUAUUACUCGCCUUCUCCUAAGCUUACAUACAAAUCCUCACCACCACCCUAUGUUUACAGCUCUCCACCACCACCAUAUUACUCUCCUUCUCCUAAGGUUGUAUACAAAUCUCCACCACCACCAUAUGUUUACAGCUCUCCACCACCACCAUACUACUCCCCUUCACCUAAACCAUCAUACAAAUCCCCACCACCACCGUACGUCUAUAACUCUCCACCUCCUCCUUACUACUCUCCUUCACCUAAGGUCAUAUACAAAUCGCCACCACACCCACAUGUAUGUGUUUGUCCCCCACCUCCACCAUGCUACUCUCAUUCU